Small nucleolar RNA from Manis pentadactyla (Chinese pangolin), 125 nucleotides. The record is from RefSeq and is a predicted model, not a curated record. Lineage: Eukaryota; Metazoa; Chordata; Mammalia; Pholidota; Manidae.
GUUGAGGUCUAUCUCAAUGGGGCUUUUUAUGUAGACAUACAUUGUUGGAAACACCUCACAGAGUAUAUAUGUGAUUUCCUUCACUUAGAGAACUUUGUUAGAUCUGUGAGAACUACAAAGCAGGU